UACGUAGGGGGCAAGCGUUGUCCGGAAUUAUUGGGCGUAAAGCGCGCGCAGGCGGCUUUGUAAGUCUGUCGUUUAAGUUCGGGGCUCAACCCCGUAUCGCGAUGGAAACUGCAAGGCUUGAGUGCAGAAGAGGAAAGUGGAAUUCCACGUGUAGCGGUGAAAUGCGUAGAUAUCGGGAGGAACACCAGUGGCGAAGGCGACUACCUGGCCUGUUCUUGACGCUGAGGCGCGAAAGCUAGGGGAGCAAACGGG
This 252-nucleotide ribosomal RNA is filed under the name uncultured bacterium. RNAcentral's name for it is "partial 16S ribosomal RNA". It matches the Rfam family "Bacterial small subunit ribosomal RNA", at positions 524 to 776 of the family's 1533-position model. The record is from RNAcentral.